GAGCCUUGCCUAAGCACUCAGGAACAGGAUCAUGUGAAACAAUACCUUGCCCAGGUCACGGCUACGUCAGGUAUCAGCACUUUGCUUAUUUCCGGCCAAAGCCCAGGCCGAAGCUUGAUUCGGGUGUCAGCAAGUUAAAACUCAGGCACAUCCAUCUUUCUUGAUCCAAGUAAAUUCUAGUGGGCAAGAGGAAGAGAAGAGAAACUACAACAUCAUUAUCUUACUGCUGGAGGCAGCAGAUUACGGACCCCUGACUGCGAUGUGUCAAAUGCACUAUGUGACAACCAAGACCCUACACAUCCGGGGGGCACUUCAGGAUUCCUCCAGGCCGCAGUUGCUGGCCUAGACUCACUUCUUCAGGAGGGAGGUUCGCCCUGGAAAAGCUGAUCUGCAUUUCUGCUGGGAUCGAUGCCGUGGAGACUGAAUACAUUGAGGUCUCCAGUUGAAAGAAGAAAGCUUAACCUGGCUUCUGAAUUCCAAGAGCGCACGGCAAAGUGGGUCUAAAUCACCUCUGGUUAUGAAGGGCCUGGAGCCAGAUAUGAGCUUCUUAGAGCUUUUGGCAGUUUCUGGUGGAGGCCAGCUCUCCUUGUCAUCUACCUUGGCCUGGGAAGCCUGUUCCCCUCUGCAGAGGAUGAGCUCAGGGCUACACCUUUCCUUCCAGGCUCUCAUGGUGUGGUCCAGGCUCCAUUUCUUUCUCUUUGAACCUCACUUCAACAUGAUUAGAGUGACUGAAGGUAAAGAAAUAGGAACUGUUUUACCGUAAAUAAAUUAGUCCCUGCUACA
Long non-coding RNA from Pan troglodytes (chimpanzee), 783 nucleotides. RefSeq lists it as uncharacterized. The record is from RefSeq and is a predicted model, not a curated record. Lineage: Eukaryota; Metazoa; Chordata; Mammalia; Primates; Hominidae. The transcript has 5 exons.